CCAGUAAGUUCGUUUUUGUUUUUCUGUUUUUAGGAACUUUUGUUUGGUUGCUGGGAAACGGAAGAAAAAAGAAAAAAAAAAUGAUUUUUAUGUGGUCUGUUAUUUGUUUGGGCUCGAUCACUCGAGGUUUUUUUUCUCUUCGAGAAUGAAAAUUUUAUUUGUAUUCAAAUUUGCAAACAGAACAUCAAGUCUUGAGGUUCGCUUUGAAAUUUAUAUCUUCUUUUGCAACUUUCUUCCAGAAAUUGCUUGCUUUUCUCCGCUGAUUAUCCCUUUACAUCUGUUUGGUGGUCAUUAAGAUCGAGGGAAAUGAAAAAUAACAUUUGGAAUUGUUUUUGUUUCAGAAAUGGAAAAGGUCGUGUAUUUGACUUGAUUUGGCUUGAAAUUUAAGAAUUUUCAGUUCUUUAAUUUCCCUUUUUUCCUCAGCAACCAACCUAGGUGUGGACGCUAUGUGUACCCUUCUUUAGUUUAUUUGCAUGACAGUAAAGGACUCCUCUGGUAUUUUGAAUUUAAAUGGGAAGUAUAAACAAAGGUCCUUAUUAUUUGGAGAUAUAGCUCUGAGUUGAAACUGUUUAAAUUUUCUACUAUAUUUUCCCAAUUUUCUCGGCAAUCAAACUUAGGAUAAGAUGAUAACCCUUUACCAUGAGAGAGACUUGCAAAGUUAUCAUUUAUAAUUGUCCUAUAUACUCUGUUGUCAUAAGAUGUCCACAACUUGUGUUAUUUUGACAUGAUCUAUCUGAUCUGUCUAAACCAGUCCCACCUUAGUAAUUGUUAGAUAAGGGCACUGUUAGAAACCAUAUCUCUAUAUGGAACCCUGUUUAAAUUUUCUACUAUAUUUUCCCAAUUUUCUCGGCAAUCAAACUUAGGAUAAAAUUUUAACCCUUUACCAUGAGAGAGACUUGCAAGGUUAUCAUUUAUAAUUGUCCUAUAUCUCUGUUGUCAUAAAAUGUCCACAACUUGUGUUAUUUUGACAUGAUCUAUCUGAUCUGUCUAAACCAGUCCCACCUUAGUAAUUGUUAGAUAAGGGCACUGUUAGAAACCUUAUCUCUAUAUGGAACCCUGUAUAUCGGAAAGAUGCCUCAACUUUCUUAUUGAAAGUAAAAGAGAACAAUUUUGCUUUUUGGAUGGUUCAAACUAUUAAAGUUUCUUGCUUUUCUAUAAUUCAAGCUAAUCAUCUUUCUCCUGUUAAAAUCUGAUUAUGCUGGUAUUAUCAUAUUGUUCUGUUGCUUUUAUUGUUUCAGGUUGAUGGUGUAAGAUUAUAUGU
Molecule: long non-coding RNA, 1261 nt
Filed under: Vitis vinifera (wine grape)
Lineage: Eukaryota; Viridiplantae; Streptophyta; Magnoliopsida; Vitales; Vitaceae
Description: long non-coding RNA (VVIN_LNC001308)
Source: RNAcentral